UAUAAUUACGGGCGAACAACACGGAAAGGAGAAAUUAAGUAAGCGAUUCUGACGUGAUGGAGCCGCAGGCAGCCAUGCGCGACCUGUCUGCCUUGCUCGGUAGCCGACGACGUCGCGCCUGCCUCAGACCCAACACAGCUGGUAAUGGUUCCUCUGAUGACACAGAUGCUUUUGUAGUUGCACAGAUUGGUAAAGGACGGAGUGAUCUCGGACGAUGAGUCGGUGUUGGUGGGCAUUCUGAUUGAUUGAACAAUCCCGAUUCAGUCCAGAGGCCUCAUCAACAUCCACAAUUUCAAAGCCAAAGCAAUCUUCAGGAUGAAAUGGAGUUGGAUGUCUUUGGGGAUGCCUCUUGGGCAGUUCUGGCGGCAUACUUGGCAAUGCGUGAGUCCUGUGCAAAGGUCUAUGUGUAGAUCUCGGAGGUA
This is a long non-coding RNA of Athalia rosae (coleseed sawfly), 422 nucleotides long. RefSeq lists it as uncharacterized. The record is from RefSeq and is a predicted model, not a curated record. The transcript has 3 exons. NCBI's taxonomy places the organism in Eukaryota, Metazoa, Arthropoda, Insecta, Hymenoptera, Athaliidae.